Molecule: non-coding RNA, 200 nt
Filed under: Nitratireductor pacificus pht-3B
Lineage: Bacteria; Pseudomonadati; Pseudomonadota; Alphaproteobacteria; Hyphomicrobiales; Phyllobacteriaceae
Also listed under: 1 other name
Source: RNAcentral
CUACGGUCCCGCCGCUACGGUUCCACGCAAGUGGAUGAAAAGGGAACGCGGUGCGGGCUGAUGAAGUCCAAAUCCGAGGCUGCCCUCGCAACUGUAAGCGGUAAGCUCGGCGAUCGUGCCACUGGCCCCAAGCGGCUGGGAAGGGAUCGCAAAGCGCAGGAGCCGCGAGCCAGGAGACCUGCCGUAUCGACAACCGCAAU